Molecule: long non-coding RNA, 217 nt
Organism: Portunus trituberculatus (swimming crab)
Lineage: Eukaryota; Metazoa; Arthropoda; Malacostraca; Decapoda; Portunidae
Exons: 2
Source: RefSeq, a predicted model, not a curated record
UUCCUAAUGUCAAUAAAAUGGUCUAAUGGUACACAAAUCUCAAGACGAUGGAAUGCUGUCAGCGAGCAGCAUGGAAGACGCAGAGAGAGUGGUGGUCAGGUGGUGGUGGAGACAGGGAGAGUAUGUGGCCUGGAGAUUAACAAACAGAACACCAAUAAUCUUGUGACCUCCAUGCAUCCUUCCUAAUGUCAAUAAAGUUGUCUUAUCAUGCCCAAAA